This 420-nucleotide ribosomal RNA is filed under the name Chloroflexota bacterium. RNAcentral describes it as "Chloroflexi bacterium partial 16S ribosomal RNA". It matches the Rfam family "Bacterial small subunit ribosomal RNA", at positions 355 to 776 of the family's 1533-position model. Lineage: Bacteria; Bacillati; Chloroflexota. The record is from RNAcentral.
UGGGGGAUAUUGCACAAUGGGCGAAAGCCUGAUGCAGCGACGCCGCGUGGGGGAUGAAGGCUUUCGGGUUGUAAACCUCUUUCGCUAUCGAACAAGGCCCGCUUAGGGUGGGUUGAGGGUAGGUGGAGAAGAAGCGCCGGCUAACUACGUGCCAGCAGCCGCGGUAAUACGUAGGGCGCGAGCGUUGUCCGGAAUUAUUGGGCGUAAAGGGCUUGUAGGCGGCUUGUUGCGCCUGCUGUGAAAACGCGGGGCUUAACUUCGCGCGUGCAGUGGGUACGGGCAGGCUUGAGUGUGGUAGGGGUGACUGGAAUUCCAGGUGUAGCGGUGGAAUGCGCAGAUAUCUGGAGGAACACCGAUGGCGAAGGCAGGUCACUGGGCCAUUACUGACGCUGAGGAGCGAAAGCAUGGGGAGCAAACAGG